This 380-nucleotide ribosomal RNA is filed under the name uncultured eukaryote. Its description in RNAcentral is "partial 18S ribosomal RNA". It matches the Rfam family "Eukaryotic small subunit ribosomal RNA", at positions 592 to 976 of the family's 1831-position model. The record is from RNAcentral.
CAAUAGCGUAUAUUAAAGUUGUUGCGGUUAAAAAGCUCGUAGUUGGAUUUCUGUUGGGAACGACCGGUCCGCCCAUUGGGUGUGUAUCUGGCUUGUCCUCGGCAUCUUCUUGGUGAACGUUGCUGCACUUGACUGUGUGGAGCGCUACCCAGGACUUUUACUUUGAGGAAAUUAGAGUGUUUCAAGCAGGCAUAUGCCUUGAAUACAUUAGCAUGGAAUAAUAAGAUAGGACCUCGGUUCUAUUUUGUUGGUUUCUAGAGCUGAGGUAAUGAUUAAUAGGGAUAGUUGGGGGCAUUCGUAUUUAACUGUCAGAGGUGAAAUUCUUGGAUUUGUUAGAGACGGACUACUGCGAAAGCAUUUGCCAAGGAUGUUUUCAUUGA